GAGCGACAUCAGUCAAGCGAGACUACCCCGCUGAACUUAA
Molecule: ribosomal RNA, 40 nt
Filed under: Heterostelium candidum
Lineage: Eukaryota; Evosea; Eumycetozoa; Acytosteliales; Acytosteliaceae
Description: partial 28S ribosomal RNA
Source: RNAcentral